RNAcentral lists this ribosomal RNA (513 nucleotides) under uncultured Entrophospora. Its description in RNAcentral is "SSU rRNA". It matches the Rfam family "Eukaryotic small subunit ribosomal RNA", at positions 591 to 1092 of the family's 1831-position model. Lineage: Eukaryota; Fungi; Glomeromycota; Glomeromycetes; Entrophosporales; Entrophosporaceae. The record is from RNAcentral.
CCAACAGCGUAUAUUAAAGUUGUUGCAGUUAAAAAGCUCGUAGUUGAAUUGAGGGAUUGACGUGACGGUCGUGCCUUACGGGGUAUGAAUGAACUGUUGCUGUUGAUUUUUCUCACCUUCUGGAGAAACUUGAUGUCCUUAAUUGGGUGUCUUGCGGAUCCAGGACCUUUACCUUGAAAAAAUUAGAGUGUUUAAAGCAGGCAUUUUGCUCGAAUACAUUAGCAUGGAAUAAUAGAAUAGGACGGCAUGGUUCUAUUUUGUUGGUUUCUAGGAUCACCGUAAUGAUUAAUAGGGAUAGUUGGGGGCAUUAGUAUUCAAUUGUCAGAGGUGAAAUACUUGGAUUUGUUGAAGACUAAUUACUGCGAAAGCAUUUGCCAAGGAUGUUUUCAUUAAUCAAGAACGAAAGUUAGGGGAUCGAAGACGAUCAGAUACCGUCGUAGUCUUAACCAAUAAACUAUGUCGACUAGGAAUCAGACGAUGUUAAUUUUUUAAUGAUUCGUUUGGCACCUUACG